UACCAGCACCCCGAGUGGUCGGGACGAUUAUUGGGCCUAAAGCAUCCGUAGCCGGUCCUACAAGUCUUCCGUUAAAUCCACCUGCUUAACAGAUGGGCUGCGGAAGAUACUAUAGGGCUAGGAGGCGGGAGAGGCAAGCGGUACUCAGUGGGUAGGGGUAAAAUCCUCUGAUCCAUUGAAGACCACCAGUGGCGAAGGCGGCUUGCCAGAACGCGCUCGACGGUGAGGGAUGAAAGCUGGGGGAGCGAACAGG
Molecule: ribosomal RNA, 253 nt
Filed under: uncultured bacterium
Lineage: Bacteria
Description: partial 16S ribosomal RNA
Rfam family: Archaeal small subunit ribosomal RNA
Source: RNAcentral